Long non-coding RNA from Sinocyclocheilus anshuiensis, 137 nucleotides. RefSeq lists it as uncharacterized. The record is from RefSeq and is a predicted model, not a curated record. The transcript has 3 exons. Lineage: Eukaryota; Metazoa; Chordata; Actinopteri; Cypriniformes; Cyprinidae.
GAUACAUCAAAAGAAACUGAAAACUCUUCACAGCAACCCGUCAAAAUAAAAGUUUGAGAGAAAUAUUACUUAAUGUCAUGAUACUCCUACUACUACUACUAAAAUUAUUAUUAAAAUAUUAUUUUUAAAGGAAUAUU